CACCAACGUAGCAGUGAUGGACACUAACU
This 29-nucleotide non-coding RNA is filed under the name Mus musculus (house mouse). Lineage: Eukaryota; Metazoa; Chordata; Mammalia; Rodentia; Muridae. The record is from RNAcentral.